Molecule: non-coding RNA, 24 nt
Filed under: Arabidopsis thaliana (thale cress)
Lineage: Eukaryota; Viridiplantae; Streptophyta; Magnoliopsida; Brassicales; Brassicaceae
Source: RNAcentral
AAGCAUAUGUUGGUAGUACAUCCA